ACUGCAGUAUUUAUAUCUCUCAAUCACUCCUCAUCAGUACCUGGUGCUGGGGGAGGGAGGGAAGCAAGGGAAAGAACUACUGUGUAGACAGCUGUAUACCGCUUUAUGUAUGCACCACUGUACAUAUCAUUAUCAGUCUUCUGGAACCAUGUGUCUGGAUCUUGUUACUGUGUGCAUUUGUAGCACCACAAACCAUUUUCUCCGUCCUUCCCCUGUCUUACAUGCAAGCUUCAGGAGAUGAAUGUUAGUUCCCUCUGCGAUCACGGACAAUCCUUUCUGCUGUGCUGCCGUCCUUUUUUUAGCUUUACUACAGGAUGAGUACUUUUCCUUAUAAAGGUAACAUGAGAAUUAGUUGGAGUCAAAUUCUGCUCUCAGACACAGCCAAACAGCUUCACUAGCAGAGCAAGAAUUAUAAAUACUCAUAUAGGAACGACAAAUGCAGCAAACAGAUUUUAUAUGGAAAGUACUUUGAAAACAAAGAGCAUAACAUAAAUGCUAAGCAUCAUUGUAUUUAUAACCAACAAAAAAAGCUUUAAUGACUAUAUGGAAAGUCUGAACAUUAGGUAAAGAAUUUGUAAUGGCAAACAAGGCAACUCUUUCUAUAGUACCAUCUUCAGACAAACACAUUGACUUUCAGCAUCUUCCCAUUCAGCCCAUGUUCUUAGUUCUGUACACGGGAAGAAAAAGGAAAGUACCUGUGCAUUCUAGACCCUGAAAUGAGGUCUUCAUCAAAAUGUAUCUUAAAUAUCAUUGUUCUCUGCACUGAAUACAAGGGGUUAUUAGAGAACUUUCACCUUUUACCACUUUGCAACUUAGGAAAGACAAAUCUGAGGGAAUGAAAUGAAAUACAUUCCAUGAACCCUUGUUUUACACUAAGGUUGCCUGUAACUUCCUAAGAUAUGCACAUUAGCAGAUAACCUCGACUCUCCAAGCAGUACCCCAAGUACUACAGCAUGGCCAAACACAUGCAGUCCCUGAAACAGAAUGGCACAAUUCUUGUUUGAUACGAAUGAACCUAAUGAUCCAUGUGCACUGUGGUUAAUAUUGUUAAACAUUAAGUUGUGUCAUGUUGGUGUGGUACGCUAACUCAAAUUAAUAUGCAGCAAAGCAAACAAUCUCACCAGUAUUUUUAAAUGUGAAGUUUCAACUUUUGGCCUUAGAUUUCAAGAUGUUGACAGGGAAGCCUGAAAUGUUGCUCCUCCUAGCAGUAGUUAAAUUAAAAACUAAGAUGUGAUAAUAUUGUCACCUAAAAAAAGCAACGUAUGUGAAAGCUAUUAAUCAGAAUGUGGCAGCAAGGAGGAAGAAACUUAUUCAACGAAUUCCAAAGAUGCCUCAAACAUUUAUAUACUCCAAUUUAUAUAUUCCAUGGUUCUAGAAAGACAGCAUUUCAUCUGUCCACACAUACAGAGUACUGCAAGAAAUACAUAUUGAAAGCAGACUGAAAUGCUCUCACCUGUUCAUGCAGCUAGGUUCACGUGUGCAAAUGUGUUUGCAUCUGCAUCUAAUAAAAACUACCUCACUUUCCAUUUUCCAGGAACAAUAUUUUGGCUUACAGGUUUAAUAUUCCAAAGCUUUCUAGUAUUAAUUAUACCUCUGUAUUAGUCUUUUACAUAGAUAAAAUGUUUCUUGCUAUAGGGGGCAAGAGUUGGAAAUAACCUCUAUUAAAAAGAAUAUUUGAAGGUAUGUACAAAAAUAUCUAAACCAUGCUGCCUCGAUGAGUGCUUGUAAUGUGAACCUUGUUAGAUCACAUAUUGGGGUUAACAGGCAGCAAACACAAGCAGUGUUUCAGUUUUUAUUUUUCAGUGGCUUUCCAUUAAUGUCUGUCUCCUCUGGAAAACAAUACAAUACCACUAAGCAAAGCAAAAUGUCUGCAUGUACGUUUUCCUUCCAGUCCUUUUUAUAAUGUUACAUGUUUUGUUGAUGUAAGCCUACAUAUUAGUGUACUUGUACAGCAGAAUGUGUCCAUUGUAUUUGUAUUCAUGCCAAAAAUAAAAACAUUACCAACAAAAAA
This is a long non-coding RNA of Lagopus leucura (white-tailed ptarmigan), 2011 nucleotides long. RefSeq lists it as uncharacterized. NCBI's taxonomy places the organism in Eukaryota, Metazoa, Chordata, Aves, Galliformes, Phasianidae. The transcript is spliced from 2 exons. The record is from RefSeq and is a predicted model, not a curated record.